RNAcentral lists this unclassified non-coding RNA (316 nucleotides) under uncultured fungus. Its description in RNAcentral is "sequence contains ITS1". The record is from RNAcentral. Lineage: Eukaryota; Fungi.
CAGGCGAGGGCUGAAGAAAGUUCCGUAACGAUUCUGGAAAUCGGCACGCGCGCUCGCCGAAACCGAGAGCCACGGAGCAAUGGCGACGUCGUCCUGAACGAAAACGCCGGGAGUUGCAUAGGUGUAGGCGAAUCGCGGCACAUCGCGCGGCCGGUAAGCGUCCCGUUCGGCUGCCGCGCCGGCCACCCAGGUGUGGCGGCCUGCAGUUCCACGGAUGGUCGCUUCGCCAAAGAGCAUCUCAUGGCGGUCGCGUUCGCGGACUUCGCCGAAGCGGUGAUCGUGAUGCUGUGAGGAUGCGGCUACGCGAGCGGUGACU